CUGUGGCCAUUGGUGAUGUUCAUGUUCAGAUUCAAUGGCUUUCCUGAGAACAAGCAGAAAUACUUUUUACCUUCAGCUGAAGGGCAGAAGCAUAACAAAAGUACGACGUAAUCAGCAGCAAGCGGACGUGGAGAAGUCGGGAGGGUUUCUCUGGCAGAAUGAGAGCAUCUGAGAGCUGAGCCUGCCUUCGCAGAGCCAUGUCCUGGUGAGUCAGAACAGCUUGAGUCCAAGCUCAGUGGCUUUUGGCCGUAAAUGGUGGUGACAAAGUAGAAGUCUCCCUCGUUUUAACAAACGCAUCAUCCAUCCCAGGAGGGGCGCUCGGAGCAGUUCGCGCCCAGUAACCACCCAGACUUGAAGGCUGGCAGCUCUCCAGCCCUCGCUGCCUUAGGAGGAGGUCAAACACCGUUCCUAGCUGACCUUUAACCCCGGGAGCUUGUUACAGCGGGUGACGCGCUCUGUGUCACCCCAGUAAGUGGCCGAGCGCCCCGGAGACAGCAGGGCUGGGCGCCCCAGGAGGCCGGCAGGAUGGGCGCUGUCCCCAAGGUUGCCUGGCCACUGACAAGUAUGUCCGAGUCUCUGAUUCUGCCCAAAUGAACAGGCCCUGAUGUUUCUAAGAAUAUGAUACAAUAAAUUUUUUUAU
Molecule: long non-coding RNA, 640 nt
Organism: Eptesicus fuscus (big brown bat)
Lineage: Eukaryota; Metazoa; Chordata; Mammalia; Chiroptera; Vespertilionidae
Exons: 3
Source: RefSeq, a predicted model, not a curated record